GAUGAACGCUGGCGGCGUGCCUAAUACAUGCAAGUCGAGCGAACAGACGAGGAGCUUGCUCCUCUGACUUUAUCGGCGGACGGGAGAGUAACACGUGGUUAACCUACCUAUAAGACUGGGAUAACUUCGGGAAACCGGGGCUAAGACCGGAUAAUAUAUUGAACCUCAUGGUGCAAUAGUGAAAGACGGUUUUGCUGUCACUUAUAGAUGGAUCCGCGCCUCAUUAGCUAGUUGUCAAGGUAACGGCUUACCAAGGCAACGAUGCGUAGCCGACCUGAGAGGGUGGACGGACAGACUGGAACUGAGACAGGGUCGCGACACCUACGGGGGGCCGCAGUAGGGACUCUUACGGGAUGGGGGAGAGGGUAACAGAGCAACACCGCGUGAGUGCUGAAGGUCUUAUGACGGUAAAACGAUGAUAUUAGUGAAGUACUAAUGUGUAAGUACCUAUGAACGUAUUGACGGUACCUAAUCAGAAAGCCACGGCUAACUCCGUG
This 497-nucleotide ribosomal RNA is filed under the name uncultured bacterium. RNAcentral describes it as "partial 16S ribosomal RNA". It matches the Rfam family "Bacterial small subunit ribosomal RNA", at positions 28 to 507 of the family's 1533-position model. The record is from RNAcentral.